Molecule: long non-coding RNA, 7419 nt
Filed under: Nicotiana benthamiana
Lineage: Eukaryota; Viridiplantae; Streptophyta; Magnoliopsida; Solanales; Solanaceae
Description: long non-coding RNA (NBEN_LNC003507)
Source: RNAcentral
UUGUAUCCCCUUUUACUCUCAGACGCUCUCUAAUCCUUCAUCUCCUUGAAACCUUCUGGUCCUCUCAUGGCCUUCAUCGCCAUACCAGCUCACUCCUCCCUCACUAUUCUCGAUUCCCAGCAACCAUGCAUCCCUGUAUCAUGGUUUUCUCUCAAGCUUAAAGCCUAGCAGCUUCCGCCAUGGAAGAAGGUCACUGAAGCUCUAUUUGGGGUAUGUUUCCGGUGUUUUUCCGAUGAUAUUUGAACGAUGACGCCUUCCACGGCAUAUUAUUCGAUUUUCACAGUCAGGUUUUUCCUUUCCAAAAUUUGUUUGAAAACCCUGAUUUUUCUCUUUAAUCUCUACUCGUUAAAUGACUUUUAGUUUGAUUUUCUUGUUUUCUACUCUACAUCUACUUAGUUCUCCGGGUAUUUCAAAUUUUCUCGAUAAUCAUCACUCUUCCAGAUUAGGGUUUUCUAACCCUCUCUUCAAAAUAGUUUCUUCUACUGUUUCUGAGUGCUAUGUAGUCGUUUGUGUUAUUUAUUUUACUUGUUUGUUUCUUUCUUUGAUGACUUGGGUUUCACGUUGUAAUUUCUAUUUCUAGUGUUUCGUAACCCCCUUUCUGAAAUACUUUACUUUUUCUAGCAUUAAUCCCUGGUUUUCAAUACUACAUGUAAGUAUUGUGUUAAUAUUUGAUAGAAACCCCUAACUCUACAUGUUUGUAUCUGUGUUUGCCUACUUGCAUGUGCUUCUAUGAGCUUCGUGCCCUUUACUUUGAUUUUUGGUGCCAAUGUUUCAUUCCCAUACCAUGCUGUUGUUCUUCUUUGAGAAUUUUGGUCGUUUAUAAGGUGACUUUAUACUGACCUUUACCGUCUCUUUAAGGACAUGAUUAUUGGCUUUAAUUUGUGAUUUGUGUGUUUUCCUAAUAGUUUUGUAUGGAUUUUGAAGUCCCUUCCUCAAUCAAUGGGAUACAUUCCCCAAUUAUAUAGCUGAUUCCCCAAGUUUUCAAUUUUGAAAUUAUUUCCCCGAAUUAAAGUGAUAUCUUUCCUUAUAUGUGUGGACAAAUGUGUUGAUUUACUGUCUUGACAUAUUUCCCUAUAUAAGUACCUUGCACCUAGUCUACAAUAUAUACUUUAUACUAUCCUUGGUUUCCUUAUGUGUCCAGGCCAUACUUUGUGAUUCCUUUCCUUUUUUUAUGAUUGUUUAUUACUGUUUGCCUAUGAUUCCUUAAUUAAAUGGGGUUCCCUAUGUUUGUGUGAUUAUUAUUGGUAUCAGUUCCUUAAAUAUGAACUGAUACCUUAUUUGUUUACUCUUUUAGUACUAUAAAUACCCCUCACCUCUCUUUUCUAACAACACACACGGCUCACAACCAAAACUCUCUGAACUCUCUCUUUUCUCUGCUAUUACUAUACUCUCUAAUUCCCUUCUUUGAACACUUUAUUGGCUAACAGCCAAGAUUAAGUAAUUUAUUUGGUUACUUUCCAUUGCUGGGUUCUAUUUGGGUCUGUUGUUACUACUAUUCUCACAUUACUGCUGCCAUUCUCAUAUUGCGCUACUAUCUUCCUGCUGUUGCUACUCCUGUAUUGCUGCCCUCAUCCUUUGCACACUUUGCUCUCCCUUUGUGUACUAUUACAUUGCUAUCAUAUUCUAUUUUUGCAACUGGUAUGUUCCCCAUUUGUGUUACAUUCUCCAAAACAACAUGUUCAUAUUAAUUCUGCAAUUCAUAUUAUUCCUUGUGUGCUUUUAUCUACGGUUUUGUUGCUAUCUUUGUCAUUAACAUGUUAUUUACUUAUCUAUUAGUUCAACUUAGCAUGUCUUUCCCCUAUUCCCCUCUCCAUGUCUCAAUGCAUGUGUACUACUUUUUGGAUACUUAACAAUUCUGAAACCUCUCCAUGAGGUUGACUAUAUUUUGGGGUUUAGUACAGUAAGAGCUAAACUUUUGUUUUAACUAGGUCUGCUUACUUCUGCCCAACAUGUUGUCUGUUCCCUUCACUUAUCUGCACUUUGCUUAUUUGCUCCCUUUACCCCUCCCUGUCUCAAUGAAUGUCUUCUUUGAGAAUUGCUUUCAUGCAUUCAUGUCUGCUUGCCUACUUGUUUAACCUAAAGUCUUUAAAGGAAGCUAGGUAAAAUAAAACUUGAUAAAAAAAAAUAGGAAGUAUAACCAUUUGGCUUGCAAUCAUAUCUAAUGACUUCUUCCAACAUGUUGUCUAUAUGUCUAUAGUUCACUUUACUAUAUGUGUGUCCCCUUUCCCUUCCCCCUGUUUGUGUGAUGCCCUGCUGUCCUAAAAGCUGAGCAUUCUAAGAUAAUUUCCACUCAUUCAAACUGUUUCUUCAAACUGCCUCACCAUUUCAAUAUUGCUAAUUGUUUCUUUUAAAGUGUCUCUCAACUGUUUUCAACUCUCUCAAUUAUUAUCUCACUCUUAGAGCUUUAGGGUCUGCCCUCCUUUGUAUAACCACUGUCUUGGGAGCCUUGAGCACCCAUGAAACUCUGAUGCACAAGGCUGGUGCAUCCAAUGUCUAAAACUGUCUAAUUGGGACAUCUUUGGAUGCCUGGUAUUGGCCAGGGGUUCAAACAAACCCUUAGGGAACUUUGUCGCACCCAAGCCUUGGUAAUGACUGUGAAACUUGAAAGGAGUGAGGUUGGAGAUGCUUGGGCCUGGCUGAAGGCUCUCUAUAGAGUAACUUCUUAUUUUCUUUUAUCACUGUUGUAUUUUUUGUAUAACCACUGUCUUGGGAGCCUUGAGCACCCAUGAAACUCUGAUGCACAAGGCUGGUGCAUCCAAUGUCUAAAACUGUCUAAUUGGGACAUCUUUGGAUGCCUGGUAUUGGCCAGGGGUUCAAACAAACCCUUAGGGAACUUUGUCGCACCCAAGCCUUGGUAAUGGCUGUGAAACUCGAAAGGAAUUAUGUUGGAGAUGUUUUGGCCUGGCUAUAGGCUCUCUAUAGAGUAACUUCUUGUUUUUCUUUUCUCACUGUUAUAUUUUUAAUUACUUGGCUGUAAUAAUUUGUGAGAACCUUGGGGGAUUAUAGUGAAAUUGGAAAGUGCUAUGCAUGAUUGUUAAGGGUUUGCGUAGAAAACAUGACUAUAGGAUUUUACUUAUCUAUUUGUACAAUAUAAAUCAUGUAUAGGAUAUGCAUUCCACAUAUAGAAAUUCUGCUGCUAGGCCCCUUUACUUUCAGCAUGUUGUUUUAUGAUCAUAAUAGUCAGUAAUCCACAAGGUACCAUAUUUAGAUACUAUGCUUUUGGGGUUCUUAUGUGCAUUAGAUAUCCUGCACCUAGGUUUUUGCAACUGUUGCAUAUUUUGUUAAUUUGGAAGAACUGGUUAACAAACUCUUCUUAAAAACUAAGAGACCAGCAUGUUCACCAUCUUUUAUAACACCUAGGCAAGCCUUAGGCCAGAUAAAAACAGACUAAUCGCCUUAAAGUCUUGUUUCAAUAAAUCCACCUCCUUCUGAAUUCGUUUGUCCCUAAGGCUUCUCGUAUUUUUUGUACAAAAAAUUUUACUUAUUUUUAUCACCUGGAAAAUACUUUUACUGAAUUGCUUUUCUCCCCCCAAGCCCAUAACUGAAUUACUAUUUUCCUACAGAAAUAUCUGAAUACUAUACAUUCUGUAUUUUUCCAAACUAUAGUUCUAAGUUAAUCUGUUUUUUUUUUAUUUUUCUUUACACUUCUGCAGUCUUAAAAAUACUAUCUGAAACUGCCUUUACCAUAUGUUCCGCUAGUUUUUUCUUAAUUCCUAAAAAAUUCUACUAUCUAUUAAAAGUUCUGAACGUUUUUUUUUUUCGACUCUUCUAUGAGAAAUUCUCCGGCUUCUUUCUUAAACUUACGCUCCAGCUUUUAAAAAUUCUUCCCUCUUUAGACUUUAACUGUGUUUGAGACGUGCUAAAUACGUGUUUGUACAUAGAGGGAUACUUGAGCCUUUACACGCUUUACGUGAUUCCAUUAUAUGUAGUCCUACUUGUUUUGUAUGUCGCCUAGUAUUUUAACCUUUCAACUUAAGGGUUCAACCGAGUUCCAACCUUAUAGAAAUAACGAUCCUAAAUGCCCUCUAGGAUCUAUAAGACGCGAUGGGUAAUAGCACGCAAUAAGCAUUCGUAACCAAUUCACACGCUUAAAUGACCUCAAAGGGGUGGGAAGGGUAGAAUAUGCAGAUGAUCACAUACCUCAUCGUGAUCAUCUAGGGUAGAAUAUGGAGAUGAUCACGUACCUCAUCAUAGAAUAUGGAGAUGAUCACAUACAAAGCGACCCCUCUUUGGGAAUAUGUACUAGAUAUUGCAUCGAAUGAUCCAUAUUAUAGUUAAACCUAGGACCCUUCUUUCUCUUAUGUGCUUUAUUUAAAUGUUUUCUUAUUGCUUUUCAAAUUAAUCCUCUUUUCUAUUUCAAACUUACAACCUUCCCUUUCUUUAUAGCUUUCAAGUUAUGUGAAUGUCCUAAAUGUGAACCUUAUUUGUGUAACUGCUUCAUCUCUUUAUAAAGUCAAGACUAGCAUGGCCGGGAACCACCUUUGUGGAUAUGGAGGGGUGCCUAACACCUUCCCCUCGAGAUAAUUUCUUUCCCUUACCCAACUCUGGUUUCUCUCUCAAAACACUCCCUUCAUCUUAAUGUGUCCUACUGCACUACAAUCAUUAGGUGGCGACUCUUCCAAUUUCGUGACACAAUUCCCAAACGGGAAAUUGAGUUGUUUUGCCCAUAAUGUCGUAAAACCUGAUUUCUCUCUUGAAAAGGGGGCUUCGACAGCAUGGCGACUUUGCUGGGGAUUUUUUUAGGAUUUUACCACUACGUGUUUUGUGACUUUACCGCUUUCUUUAUUUAUAGCGUCAAUUACUUUUCUUUUGUUAUUUUCACAAUUACUAACUUGUUUAUUCAUGUCUUUUCUUUUCCUUUAACUGUUUUAUCACUUUAUUUCAAUUCCGUCUUUAAUUUUGAGCAUUUAUUUUAAUCAUUAUGAGCGUGAAAAUACAUGUACUUAUUUCAUUGUUGUAAUUUCAUCCUUCAACAUUAUUUUCUACUCGUGCCAAAUAAAUACUAUAGCAAUGCUUAUAUUGAGUGGUUGCGCUCUUCCGAUAUUCACGAACCCCCUAAAUUUCACAAAGGCAUAUUUGCAGUAAAACCAGUCGAUCAACGGUGUAGUCGAUAGUUCCGCACCUUUCUCUCUUGAGUUUUCUGCUUAAGGGUACCUUGUCUAGCACUUCAAAAGUAGAAACCUUACUCCAUUUAAUUGUUCAUGCAUCAUGGUCAAACUUAGCCGAGUCAGUUAUGUUGGCUGCAUAAUGACUCAAUAGGAUAGCCUAAACAUUAGUCCAUCGGGUUUCCUCGAAACCCAAACGGACAUUCACGUUAUGUGCAUUAAUUUGGAGAACCAAAUGCCUUUUGCUUUAUUGAUUUAAAUAGUCGAGUCCGGUGGGGUUAGGGGCCUAACUCUCUAUUUUGCAGAAAAUGAGGCACGAGGUCCCCAGGUUCGGUAUGGUAUCAAACAUUCAUCUAAAGUUGCUAAGCUGGUGGGAUGAUUUGUAUGGUAGUGAUAGGGUUGUUGUCCGCAAACACUUAGGAAAUCUUCCUUCACUUCUGGAAGUUAGGACAGAUAAAAAGACUGUGGAAGCCGCUACCAUGUUUUGGGAUAGUGAACGGUCUAUCUUCCGCUUUGGGGAUAUUAAAAUGACGCUGCUGUUGGAGGAAAUUAGGGGUCUAGCCGGAAUUCCUUGGGAUAGCCCGGAGUUGCUCAUGCCAGAAAAACGCAAAGGUAUAGGGUUCUUGAAAAUGAUGGGGCUAAAAAACAAUCCUAAUUUGACCAGUUUGAAGGACUCCUACAUAACCUUCGACUUCAUGUAUGAAAGUUUCGGGCAUAGUAAAUUGUACCACAAUCACAUGGACAUGUUCACUCUUACCUCUUUGGGGCACAUACAUAGGAGGGCUUUUGUUUUCAUGUUUUGUUUUCUUGGAAUGAUAUUUUUCCCGAUGAAGAACGCUAGGAUCCAUACAAGACUAGCCAUGGUAACCAAAGCCGUAAUGGAGGGUAUCGACGGGCAGACAUUCAGCAUAGCACCCAUGAUCCUCGCAGAACUGUACCGAGCCUUGGAAAAAUGUCAACAAGGGGCACCGCACUUCGAAGGGUGCAAUAUUCUAUAACAACUCUGGCACGUCGAACAACUUCAAAAGGGAGAGUAUAGGCAUGAGAUCAUACGACGGGAUUGGGAUGACCAUAUUGAUUUCCAUCAUCCAAAGCGGAUGCACUUCAUGUCGGAUAUGUUUGCUCAUCCGGAAGACGCCGGUGGAUGGGUCAAACUAUUAAGGAAUCUAAGAGAAGAACAAGUACAAUGGAUGUACGAGUGUCUUCCAACUGGCGAGUUUAUCAUUCGGUCUAGGGAUGCACCAUUCCUGGUACUCAUCGACUUAAGAGGAACUUACACUUAUAUCCCUCGCCGAGUCAUGAGGCAAGCCGGAAGGAAGCAGAUUAUACCAAGAGUGGAAAAGAUGAGUCACUACAGGGCUGAUUUCCAAGAUGACGAUAGCCCACACAGGUUCCAGACUCAAUGUAGGUAGCACUCUAAAAUGAUUCUAGAAAAGGAAUCUAUGGAACAAGAUAGGUAUUAGGCAGGAUAUUCGCCGCUUUAUCCAGGGUGGUUAGAAUAUGAUCAUAUGUGCUUGGGGAAAAUAGGUUUCGUCCAUGGUCACAGGGUUAUUAAUGAGGAAGCUGCAGCAAAGGUCAAGUAUAAUCAGUUACGCAGGCGAAUGUGAGAAUGUGAAAGUGAACACCGGGAAAUGCUAGAGGCUCAAGAGAAGGUAAUCAAGGAAUGGAAAGACAUGGCUGGCCGUACAAGCAACCAUUUGGGGUACUUGGAACAGGGCAUAGUGGAGCUGGAAGGCAAGUUUCUGAAAAGGAUCAAAGGCUGUCAGGAAGCUGAAGGUAAUGAAGGUGGGAAUCUAGCUCAGGCUUAUUUGUUGCUGGGACUACGCAAGCAAAUGAAGCUGUACAAGGGAGGCAAAGAUACUGAAUCUGGGGAAGGUCCUUCUGGGAGGAAGUAGAUAGGAUUUUACUGCUUUCUUGAUGUAAUAAGGCCACUGGCGAUUAGUGACAUUGUCUUUUAUUUAAGUCUUUUUUAACUCGUUCUAUUUUCUAUCAAUAAAUGAGGCAUUUGGUAUUACGAGUUCUCCAAAUCAUAUUUGUCGCUAGGCCUACCUCGGGCANNNNNNNNNNNNNNNNNNNNNNNNNNNNNNNNNNNNNNNNNNNNNNNNNNNNNUAAAUCGUUUCAUAUUUGUCGCUAGGCCUACCUCGGGCACAACAAGCACCCAAAUAGGAAACGAUUUAUAUUUUUGCAACAACGUGUUUACAUACCACAAUGUUUUCUUUCUCAGAAUCUGCACUAACUUUUUAGUUUUUUGUUUUCUUUUCGUUUUUAUCCCCCUCCCCAAAGGUUAGCCCCUGAAUUCUGGCACCAUUAGCA